RNAcentral lists this ribosomal RNA (440 nucleotides) under uncultured bacterium. Its description in RNAcentral is "partial 16S ribosomal RNA". It matches the Rfam family "Bacterial small subunit ribosomal RNA", at positions 338 to 795 of the family's 1533-position model. The record is from RNAcentral.
CCUACGGGCGGCAGCAGUGGGGAAUAUUGCACAAUGGGGGAAACCCUGAUGCAGCGACGCCGCGUGAGUGAAGAAGUAAUUCGUUAUGUAAAGCUCUAUCAGCAGGGAAGAAAAUGACGGUACCUGAGUAAGAAGCCCCGGCUAACUACGUGCCAGCAGCCGCGGUAAUAAGUAGGGGGCAAGCGUUAUCCGGAUUUACUGGGUGUAAAGGGAGCGUAGACGGCAGUGCAAGUCUGGAGUGAAAGGCGGGGGCUCAACCCCCGGACUGCUCUGGAAACUGUACGGCUGGAGUGCAGGAGAGGUAAGUGGAAUGCCUAGUGUAGCGGUGAAAUGCGUAGAUAUUAGGAGGAACACCAGUGGCGAAGGCGGCUUACUGGACUGUAACUGACGUUGAGGCUCGAAAGCGUGGGGAGCAAACAGGAUUAGAUACCCCGGUAGUC